CCUGGUGUCUCAGAUGGUAAAGAAUCUGCCUGCAAUUCAGGAGACCCAGGUUCAAUCCCUGGGUCAGGA
Molecule: transfer RNA, 69 nt
Filed under: Ovis aries (sheep)
Lineage: Eukaryota; Metazoa; Chordata; Mammalia; Artiodactyla; Bovidae
Rfam family: tRNA
About the family: Transfer RNA (tRNA) molecules are approximately 80 nucleotides in length.
Source: Rfam by way of RNAcentral